This 285-nucleotide ribosomal RNA is filed under the name Pseudobutyrivibrio sp. 38. RNAcentral describes it as "partial 16S ribosomal RNA". It matches the Rfam family "Bacterial small subunit ribosomal RNA", at positions 371 to 674 of the family's 1533-position model. The record is from RNAcentral. Lineage: Bacteria; Bacillati; Bacillota; Clostridia; Lachnospirales; Lachnospiraceae.
AUGGCGAACGACUGAUGCAGCGACGCCGCGUGAGCAGAGAAGUAUUUCGAUGUGUAAAGCUCUAUCAGCAGGGAAGAUAAUGACGGUACCUGACUGAAGAGCACCGGCUAAAUACUGGCCAGCAGCCGCGGUAAUACGUAUGUGGCAAGCGUUAUCCGGAUUUACUGGGUGUAAAGGGAGCGUAGGCGGUUUUACAAGUCUGAUGUGAAAGCCCGGGGCUCAACUCCGGUAUCUGAUUGGAAACUGUAGAACUAGAGUGUCGGAGGGGUAAGUGGAAUUCCUAGU